AACAUAGCCUUUAGCCACCAUAGUAUUAAAGGUAACGCCUGCCCAGUGAAAACUUUAAACGGCCGCGGUAUCCUAACCGUGCAAAGGUAGCGUAAUAACUUGUCUUUUAAAUAAAGACUAGCAUGAAUGGCUAAAUGAGGACCUAACUGUCUUCUAAGACCAAUCUAUGAACCUGAUCUUUCAGUACAAAAGCUGAAAUUACAACAUAAGACGAGAAGACCCUGCGGAGCUUUAAAAACUCCACUUUUUAAGUUGGGGCGACUACGGAAAUAAAAAAAACCUCCACGACAGGGCUGACAACCCAAAAAAGGAAUCACACGCCAACCAAGCUGACCAACGAACCAAGUUACCCCAGGGAUAACAGCGCCAUCCUCUUCAAGAGCCCCUAUCGCCAAGAGGGUUUACGACCUCGAUGUUGGAUCAGGACCCCCUAGUGGCGCAGCCGCUACUAAAGGUUCGUUUGUUCAACGACUAAUGUCCUACGUGAUCUGAGUUCAGACCGGAGCAAUCCAGGUCGGUUU
This 521-nucleotide ribosomal RNA is filed under the name Coleodactylus meridionalis. RNAcentral describes it as "partial 16S ribosomal RNA". It matches the Rfam family "Bacterial large subunit ribosomal RNA", at positions 1812 to 2637 of the family's 2925-position model. The record is from RNAcentral. Lineage: Eukaryota; Metazoa; Chordata; Lepidosauria; Squamata; Sphaerodactylidae.